This is a non-coding RNA of Candidatus Lambdaproteobacteria bacterium, 95 nucleotides long. The record is from Rfam. NCBI's taxonomy places the organism in Bacteria, Pseudomonadati, Pseudomonadota, Candidatus Lambdaproteobacteria.
GGAGGCGGCUGUGGCGCUGGUGCCCACCCCGGUCUUCAAAACCGCGUGAGGGGCCUGUAAAAGGUCCCUGGAGAGUUCGAUUCCCUCACGCCUCC